RNA transcript from Lagenorhynchus albirostris (white-beaked dolphin), 3868 nucleotides. It is a transcript of the gene named glutaryl-CoA dehydrogenase, with no coding region annotated. Lineage: Eukaryota; Metazoa; Chordata; Mammalia; Artiodactyla; Delphinidae. The record is from RefSeq and is a predicted model, not a curated record. The transcript has 12 exons.
UGCCGUGGCCCCUUUAAAAGGCAGAGCCUUGAAAGAGCGGAGUCCUAGGACGAACCAAUGACAAGCCCCAUUUGGCCUCUUCCCAGCCCGCCCCCUCCGGAGGUCAAAAGCCUUGGUCAGUAGCCCUGUGGCCUGUGCGGUGAACCCGGGGUCUCCAGGUCGGCCUUGGUUGUUCCGCUCGCCAGCUCGCUGCCCACAUGGCCCUGAGAGGCGUCUAUGGGUGGCUACUGAGCCGCGAGUCCAGCCUGCGAGUCCUUCGUUCAUGGAGCUCGGCGGCGACGCAGACCGAAAAAGGCGGGAAGACCCAGAGCCGAUCAGCCAAGUCCUCGCGGCCCGAGUUUGACUGGAGGGACCCACUAUUGCUGGAGGAGCAGCUGACAGCAGAUGAGGUCCUCAUCAGGGACACCUUCCGCACCUACUGCCAGGAGCGCCUCAUGCCCCGCAUCCUGCUGGCCAAUCGCAACGAAGUUUUUCACCGGGAGAUCAUCUCAGAGAUGGGGGAGCUGGGUGUGCUGGGCCCCACCAUCAAAGGGUAUGGCUGUGCUGGAGUCUCAUCUGUGGCCUAUGGGCUCCUGGCCCGAGAGCUGGAGCGAGUGGACAGCGGCUACAGGUCAGCGAUGAGUGUCCAGUCCUCUCUUGUCAUGCACCCCAUCUACGCGUACGGCAGCGAGGAGCAGCAACAGAAGUACCUGCCCCGGCUGGCCAAGGGGGAGCUUCUGGGCUGCUUUGGGCUCACAGAGCCUAACCAUGGGAGUGACCCCGGCAGCAUGGAGACCAGAGCCCGCCAGAACCCGUCCAGCAGGAGCUACACCCUCAGUGGGGCCAAGACCUGGAUCACCAACUCACCUGUGGCCGACCUGUUUGUAGUGUGGGCUCGGUGCGAAGAUAGUUGCAUUCGGGGCUUCCUGUUGGAGAAGGGGAUGCGGGGCCUCUCGGCCCCCAAGAUUGAGGGAAAGUUUUCUCUGCGGGCCUCGGCCACGGGUAUGAUUAUCAUGGACGACGUGGAAGUGCCAGAGGAGAAUGUGCUGCCCAAGGCGUCUGGUCUGGCGGGUCCCUUCGGCUGCCUAAACAAUGCCCGCUAUGGCAUCACCUGGGGUGUGCUUGGAGCUGCUGAGUUCUGUUUGCACACGGCCCGGCAGUACACCCUGGACAGGAUCCAGUUUGGUGUCCCACUGGCCAAGAACCAACUGAUUCAGAAGAAGCUGGCGGAUAUGCUCACCGAGAUCACGCUGGGCCUUCAUGCCUGCCUGCAGCUCGGCCGCUUGAAGGAUCAAGACAAGGCCACCCCGGAAAUGAUCUCCCUGCUGAAGAGGAAUAACUGUGGGAAGGCCCUGGACAUUGCCCGCCAGGCCCGAGACAUGCUGGGAGGGAAUGGGAUUUCUGAUGAGUAUCACGUGAUCCGGCAUGCCAUGAACCUGGAGGCCGUGAACACUUAUGAAGGUGGGGGCUGGAUCCCUGGGGUGGGGUUCACAGUGGCCUCACGUCUGGGGAAGAGGACAGCAGACCCAAGUCCUACUCCCAGCUGUCACCAGUCAGCAGCAUGACCUGGGGCAAGUCCCACCCUGUGUCCCUCAUCUGGAGUGGCCCAUACUGGGACCGUGGAAGUAAACCCUCCCAGUCCUUUCCUCCAUUAUGCUCCAGGGGAGGGAUGUUCCCAAGCCUGCUUAUGGCUUCCACAGGCAUUCCCAGAGCGGGGCAUUAAUGCCCAGGGAGCUGGUGGAUGCAAGGGAGUGAGAGUGCAGCUACACACAGGAAUCACCACUCCAUUUUAUGUGAGAAAAAAAGAGAAAAGGUAAAUCAUUUGCAGGCUGUGGUGUUUGCACCUGACAACUAGUUGUGACUCACAUGGGGCCCAGAACCCCUUGCCUCAUGGGAAGACAGACAUAGAAAAAGAUAGUUAAAAAGAAAAGAGAUGUGGGGAAUUCCCUGGCGGUCCAGUGGUUAGGACUUGGCCUUUUCACUGCGGUGGCCUGGGUUCAAUCCCUGGUUGGGGAACUAAAACCCCACAAGCCGUGGUGCGGCCAAAAAAAAAAAAAGAAAAGAGGUGUACAAUUCCAGUGUGAGUCACACAGAACUAGAGGGAGCUGUAACAGGCACUCAAUCUCUUAGGGAGAAAGUGGGACCAUGUUAAGCCUUGAGGGAGGUGUAGGAGCUCCCUGGGCAGAGAUGGCGAAAUAGUAUCCAUGUGGUAUUCUGGAUGGGACAUUCCAGAAACAGCAAGAAGGAGGGCUGGGGGUGGGGGGUUUCUACAGGCAUGACAGUGACCCGGAGGACAAGCAGAGGGCACCUUCAGAUAGUUUUACGCAGGGGAGGGACAGGGUCAGAUUUGCACUUUAGGAAGAAAAUAGAAUUAUUUUGCUCCAUAAAAGGGAGGCCAUAAUCUCUGCCUUCCACCUCUGGAAGCUGAGGAAGAGCAAAUGAGAACACUGCGGGCUGUAAAGUAUUACUUAGACAUGUGGAUGUGGGAUGGGAUGUGGAAUGUGGGGCGUGGGGCGGUGGCUCUAGGAUGGGGGAUCAUCUGGGACAGGCAACUAACUGUCUGAUGUUUGCUUUCCCAUUCCUCCUGUGAGUGAGAAAGGGCCUGAUCCAUUUCUGCAGAGCUCAUCAGCUCUUUCCACCUCUGUGGGAAGAAAGCAUGGCUGGGUUGAAAAUCAAAUGUUUAAUCAACCAUGUGUGGUUGGGGUCGGGUGAAUCGGGGAGCACCAAAGAUUGGCCCAUGGUGGGGGCUGGACUCGCUGCAGUUUUGGGCCUGGCACAAGGAGCUUUGGGUUGGUUGGUCAGUCGGUUUUUGCCAAGAUGCAUUACAGAACUCUGAAAAACAAUUUUCUCGGCAUGGCCAGAAUGGUGGCCUCUGAGCCUUCCCUUGGUGGCUGUCACUAAGGGGGCUCUCCUGGCAGCUGUCAGCAUUCGCUGUCUUUGUGGGUCUGUUCUUCUUCCAAAGUAGUAGCCUGUGGGGAGACAUGAAGAUUGACUUUAAAGGGAAGUUGUAAGCUGUUAAGACUCCAAACCAACUCUGCAUUUGUCUUGCCCAGGCACUCAUGACAUCCAUGCUCUGAUCCUCGGAAGGGCAAUCACAGGGAUCCAGGCGUUCACAGCCAGCAAGUGAACCCACUUCACCUGCGAGCCCGGAUGGUACCAAACCCCUUCCCAGGGAGAUACUGCGCUCUGAGCUUAGUCAGGGAGGUGGCAGAUGGAGCCAUUUCUUCUGGUGGGAAGUGAGAGACGCUGAUUUUUAAAUAUCAAAAUUUCCCUUUUGAAGUCAUUCAAAUGUGUUCCUUAAAAAGAAGAUGGGACUGUCUGUACUGAGUUUCUCAAUCCAGUUUUAACUGUGGAUGGGAACAGACUCCACUCACCUUGGAACAGAAGCUCCCUUUGACAGGGGAGCAGGGAGAGGGAAGGAGAGUGACAUGGAAGCAACUUGUGAGGCCCACCUGGUGUCUGACUACGCAAACUACCCCCUCCACACAGCAAGAGGUUACUCUGCGCCCUCUGACCCUCCCAUCUUAGGCUGCUACAACUCUCGUUCCUCUGGCGGCACCCAUGUGCAUGCGUGAGUUCAGUCCUACCUCAGGCUGGCCGCACAGGUCUUUGUACAUGGUCUCCACGCUGUGGCACACUUCUUUGAGCUCUGUUUCCAGGUGACUGAUUUUUGCCAUUUUUUGGGUGAACUCUUGGAGCUUUUCCUGAAUGAUCUUGUUGUGGUGAUUAUAAAUCUGAUACAUCCUCUCCUCUAGCUUCUCUGUCAGGUCUGAAACCUUUGAAAGAAUAAGAUGUUCUUGGAAAGUCAAACAAGAGGCAUCACAAGACAUUUGUUCUAGCUGGCUCUUUAAGAUUUCUGCAAUUUAUCUUAUAAAAGUGGUAAAAACAA